CCUGUCCCUAAAAGCACUGCAGAUGUAGCUGUUAUUUCACAUGUGUGUCAGUAGGUGGCAGAGAGGAGAGCUGCUAUGUUUAUGCUCAGUGUCCUGAUCUAUGAACUUCUGAAUGUUUCUUAGCCUAACACU
This is a non-coding RNA of Arvicanthis niloticus (Nile rat), 132 nucleotides long. Lineage: Eukaryota; Metazoa; Chordata; Mammalia; Rodentia; Muridae. The record is from RefSeq and is a predicted model, not a curated record.